Molecule: ribosomal RNA, 1358 nt
Filed under: Salmonella enterica subsp. houtenae
Lineage: Bacteria; Pseudomonadati; Pseudomonadota; Gammaproteobacteria; Enterobacterales; Enterobacteriaceae
Description: partial 23S ribosomal RNA
Rfam family: Bacterial large subunit ribosomal RNA
Source: RNAcentral
AGACCCGAAACCCGGUGAUCUAGCCAUGGGCAGGUUGAAGGUUGGGUAACACUAACUGGAGGACCGAACCGACUAAUGUUGAAAAAUUAGCGGAUGACCUGUGGCUGGGGGUGAAAGGCCAAUCAAACCGGGAGAUAGCUGGUUCUCCCCGAAAGCUAUUUAGGUAGCGCCUCGUGAAUUCAUCUCCGGGGGUAGAGCACUGUUUCGGCCAGGGGGCCAUCCCGGCUUACCAAUCCGAUGCAAACUGCGAAUACCGGAGAAUGUUAUCACGGGAGACACACGGCGGGUGCUAACGUCCGUCGUGAAGAGGGAAACAACCCAGACCGCCAGCUAAGGUCCCAAAGUCAUGGUUAAGUGGGAAACGAUGUGGGAAGGCCCAGACAGCCAGGAUGUUGGCUUAGAAGCAGCCAUCAUUUAAAGAAAGCGUAAUAGCUCACUGGUCGAGUCGGCCUGCGCGGAAGAUGUAACGGGGCUAAACCAUGCACCGAAGCUGCGGCAGCGACACUGAUGUGUUGUUGGGUAGGGGAGCGUUCUGUAAGCCGUUGAAGGUGGCCUGUGAGGGUUGCUGGAGGUAUCAGAAGUGCGAAUGCUGACAUAAGUAACGAUAAAGCGGGUGAAAAGCCCGCUCGCCGGAAGACCAAGGGUUCCUGUCCAACGUUAAUCGGGGCAGGGUGAGUCGACCCCUAAGGCGAGGCCGAAAGGCGUAGUCGAUGGGAAACGGGUUAAUAUUCCCGUACUUGGUGUUACUGCGAAGGGGGGACGGAGAAGGCUAUGUUGGCCGGGCGACGGUUGUCCCGGUUUAAGCGUGUAGGUGUGUGUUCCAGGUAAAUCCGGUUCACUUUAACACUGAGGCGUGACGACGAGGCACUACGGUGCUGAAGCAACAAAUGCCCUGCUUCCAGGAAAAGCCUCUAAGCCUCAGGUAACAUCAAAUCGUACCCCAAACCGACACAGGUGGUCAGGUAGAGAAUACCAAGGCGCUUGAGAGAACUCGGGUGAAGGAACUAGGCAAAAUGGUGCCGUAACUUCGGGAGAAGGCACGCUGACACGUAGGUGAAGUGGUUUACCCAUGGAGCUGAAGUCAGUCGAAGAUACCAGCUGGCUGCAACUGUUUAUUAAAAACACAGCACUGUGCAAACACGAAAGUGGACGUAUACGGUGUGACGCCUGCCCGGUGCCGGAAGGUUAAUUGAUGGGGUCAGCGCAAGCGAAGCUCCUGAUCGAAGCCCCGGUAAACGGCGGCCGUAACUAUAACGGUCCUAAGGUAGCGAAAUUCCUUGUCGGGUAAGUUCCGACCUGCACGAAUGGCGUAAUGAUGGCCAGGCUGUCUCCACCCGGGACUCAGUGAAAUUGAACUC